This 106-nucleotide small RNA is filed under the name Marmota monax (woodchuck). The record is from RNAcentral. Lineage: Eukaryota; Metazoa; Chordata; Mammalia; Rodentia; Sciuridae.
GCUGGGUGUGGUGGUGCUCACCUGUAAUCCCAGUGGCUCUGGAGGCUAAGGCAGGAGGAUCAUGCAACAGGGAUGCACUAAGCAGCUCAGUGAGACCCUGUCUCUA